UACAGAGGUCUCGAGCGUUAGGCGGAAUCACUGGGCUUAAAGCGUGUGUAGGUGGAUGCCUAAGUACCUUGUGAAAUCCCACGGCUUAACCGUGGAACUGCUUGGUAUACUGGGUGUUUCUGAGUCACUCAGGGGCGAGCGGAACAAAUGGUGGAGCGGUGAAAUGCGUAGAUAUCAUUUGGAACGCCAAUGGUGAAAACAGCUCGCUGGGGGUGCACUGACACUGAGACACGAAAGCCAGGGGAGCGAACGGG
Molecule: ribosomal RNA, 254 nt
Filed under: uncultured bacterium
Lineage: Bacteria
Description: partial 16S ribosomal RNA
Rfam family: Bacterial small subunit ribosomal RNA
Source: RNAcentral